Anas platyrhynchos (mallard) is the source of this 631-nucleotide non-coding RNA. The record is from RefSeq and is a predicted model, not a curated record. NCBI's taxonomy places the organism in Eukaryota, Metazoa, Chordata, Aves, Anseriformes, Anatidae.
AAUUUAAGAUCAUUUCAAUCAACAAGCCAUGCCUGCAACUCUUAUAAGGCCCAAACUGAGGACAAGAUCUUCUACCUCACAGCUAUAGUUUGAGUCUUAGCUCUAAAUCCUCCAUUUUUAAUAAAGGUUUGCUUUCACAUGGCAGUUCCUGUGACCCAAGUUUAAUGUGAAAUAACUAAUCUGAUACUAAGUGCAAAGUAAAUGGCUGAGACAACAGUCUUCUGAGGGCCACUGUAGGAGCUAUUUAUAUCAAGAUUCAGAAACUAUGGAUCAUGAAAGUACAAUACUGAAAACUCCACCUUUCCGUGUAAAAACAGGAGCACGGGACGUGCAGUACCAGGCAAUCAGCUUACAUCCUGAUAAGGCUUGAUAGCAAAGCUCUGCAGUCAGACUGCUGAACAGAAGCUGCUCCGCUGUCACAAGAUGGGAGAAAGAAGCAUUGCAACACCGGCAAGUUGAGUCACUUCAUAAAAUCCCAGCCAGUAUUUAGCACUAGCAGCUGUUUUUUUCUGCAGCGACCUUCCCCACCAUGCUGGGUAACACCACCAAGCAAAGAAGCCAUAUAAGGGAAGGAAGAAAUAAGGCAGAAAUUAAACAUUAUUAUUUAAAACUUACGUAAUUUACUGAAGUA